CCUACGGGUGGCAGCAGUCGAGAAUCAUUCACAAUGGGGGAAAGCCUGAUGGUGCGACGCCGCGUGGGGGAAUGAAGGUCUUCGGAUUUUAACCCCCUGUCAUGUGGGAGCAAAUUAAAAAGAUAGUACCACAAGAGGAAGCGACGGCUAACUCUGUGCCAGCAGCCGCGGUAAUACCGAGGUCUCAAGCGUUGUUCGUACUCACUGGGGGUAAAGAGUGCGUAGGCUGUUUCGUAAGUCGUGUGUGAAAGGCGCGGGCUCAACCCGCGGACUGCACAUGAUACUGCGAGACUAGAGUAAGGGAGGGGGAACCGGAAUUCUCGGUGUAGCAGUGAAAUGCGUAGAUAUCGAGAGGAACACUAGUGGCGAAGGCGGGUUCCUGGACAUUAACUGACGCUGAGGCACGAAGGCGAGGGGAGCGAAAGGGAUUAGAUACCCCAGUAGUC
This 446-nucleotide ribosomal RNA is filed under the name uncultured bacterium. RNAcentral describes it as "partial 16S ribosomal RNA". It matches the Rfam family "Bacterial small subunit ribosomal RNA", at positions 338 to 795 of the family's 1533-position model. The record is from RNAcentral.